Molecule: ribosomal RNA, 726 nt
Filed under: uncultured Bacilli bacterium
Lineage: Bacteria; Bacillati; Bacillota; Bacilli
Description: bacterial SSU rRNA
Rfam family: Bacterial small subunit ribosomal RNA
Source: RNAcentral
AAGUCGAACGCUUCUUUCCUCCCGAGUGCUUGCACUCAAUUGGAAAGAGGAGUGGCGGACGGGUGAGUAACACGUGGGUAACCUACCCAUCAGAGGGGGAUAACACUUGGAAACAGGUGCUAAUACCGCAUAACAGUUUAUGCCGCAUGGCAUAAGAGUGAAAGGCGCUUUCGGGUGUCGCUGAUGGAUGGACCCGCGGUGCAUUAGCUAGUUGGUGAGGUAACGGCUCACCAAGGCCACGAUGCAUAGCCGACCUGAGAGGGUGAUCGGCCACACUGGGACUGAGACACGGCCCAGACUCCUACGGGAGGCAGCAGUAGGGAAUCUUCGGCAAUGGACGAAAGUCUGACCGAGCAACGCCGCGUGAGUGAAGAAGGUUUUCGGAUCGUAAAACUCUGUUGUUAGAGAAGAACAAGGACGUUAGUAACUGAACGUCCCCUGACGGUAUCUAACCAGAAAGCCACGGCUAACUACGUGCCAGCAGCCGCGGUAAUACGUAGGUGGCAAGCGUUGUCCGGAUUUAUUGGGCGUAAAGCGAGCGCAGGCGGUUUCUUAAGUCUGAUGUGAAAGCCCCCGGCUCAACCGGGGAGGGUCAUUGGAAACUGGGAGACUUGAGUGCAGAAGAGGAGAGUGGAAUUCCAUGUGUAGCGGUGAAAUGCGUAGAUAUAUGGAGGAACACCAGUGGCGAAGGCGGCUCUCUGGUCUGUAACUGACGCUGAGGCUCGA